This 709-nucleotide long non-coding RNA is filed under the name Anas platyrhynchos platyrhynchos (common mallard). RNAcentral's name for it is "lncRNA (ENSAPLG00000029139.1)". The record is from RNAcentral. Lineage: Eukaryota; Metazoa; Chordata; Aves; Anseriformes; Anatidae.
UUUCACUCCCUGUCACGCUGAGAACAGUGUCUCCUAUCUGUCUUGCUCAAGCCUGUCCCCUGACUGCAUCAGAGAAAAAUCUUUAUCACCUGUUCUGCCCAAAGAACCUUACCAACUGCUCAAGCCUGUUGCUUAGCCUCUGUGUACUCUGUGCACCACGUGUGCUGCCAGAAGCUGAUAAAUCUCAGGUUGCAGCCAUUACUCCCCUGGGAUACCUGAGUGGAUGCAACAUUUCUGCUACGCUUUCUGAAGUAUUGAUUGGGAAAACCAGCUCAGAUAUGGUGCUGUUUCCUAGCAGCGUGCAGAUUUUCCUGUGUUCACAAAAGGAACUGGUGAAAUGUUAUCUGAUACAGAGUUGGUACAUAUGAAGGUGAGGGAAGUGCAAGGAGAGACUGCUUAAAACUGCGAGGCAGACAGCUUGUCUGGAGUGCAAAUGAUAAACCAUGCUUAUUUAAAGUUUACAGUGAGAAUACCCCAAAAGGGACAUUAAACUGUAGUAAUUAACAUCAGGAAACUCUCCCCAUGGAAGUACUUGUCAUGGUACAAUUUAACUCGCAAAUUGUAAAUACCUACACAGAAAUCUUGCCAUAGAUUCACCCAAAACUGUUGAGUGUCAUUCUCUACCCAUAGGCAUCUAGAAACAAAACAACAAACAAACAAGCAAAUAACAACAGCAACAACAAUAAUAAAAAAAAUAAUAAUAAAAACA